GUGCGAGAGGGGGGAGAGGCAGGGGAAAACUGCAGAGAGCGAGAAGAAAAGUGCGAUAGAAGCCCAGCCCCGGGUUGGUUUGCGCUAGAUUAUUUUAGCAACAAAAUACCUUCCGAUUAACCGCGAUGUUUAGUGUCUGAUUUAUGCGCUGAAUUAUUUAUUUAAAUCGCCGGCUAUCGCUGUUGCGGCGAAGAGUAUGCGAGUCCGGGGGCACGGAGAGCUACAGCGUACGGGGGGGCGCGCAAAGUUGAUCUUCCCCGGGAAGCGAGCCUGCUCCGGCCAAGUACGCGCCUCUCCGCCAGCAUGUUAUGUUGCAAGUGUGGUUUCUUUCCUUUGACAAUUCAUUGUGCUUUUCUAAAAAUUAAUUUUCCAGGGCAUGACGAGAAAGCCUCAUUCAAACCGUGUUUGGCACCGCUCUUCAUAAAGUGAUCGCUGCUAUCAAGCGCGCUGUGGAUGUCUUGGGGGGAGAUGCUCAGGGGGGGGAAGAGGGGGAAAUCCCUUUUUAGUUUUGCGAUUAGGCUGCCAGGCUUUGAAAAGGGCUUAAAAACAAAGUCAUGCUCAGCCUUUUGUAGGAGAGAUCCAGAUGUUAUGUAGAUUUUUGUUUGCAUGUUCUUUUUGAGCGGAUCCGGCGGCGAGCGCUGUAUUUACGUGUGUAUGUUGCUGGACUUUGCCGUAUAUCGACGCUGCGCUUGUGGAAUGCGUGCUGAAGUAUUAGUUCGAGGAUCUCCUCCAAGAUUAAAGCUAGUCCUAAGAACAACCGAAUUGCUGUGACUGACUUUCACGGGACUGUAAAGAGAGGUGAGUAAAAAUGCCCUUAGUAUGUAGAUCUCUUUCAAGCAGUGGUUAAGUCGAUUCAUUUCACAGGGAAAAAGCCAGUCUUCUUGUGCAGUAUUUUAUACUCUGUCGUAUAAAUCGGUAACGUAAUUCAAGAUAUUCAUGGUAAUGAAUGCUUGGCUAAUCCUUUGGGUGCACGGAGACCUACAGAGCAGUAGGUUAUGCAAAUCCUUUCCUACUUUUACAGCUGUAGUUUUCUAACAGAUUUUUUAAGAGAUCUAGUAAUCGGUGAAAGCUAUUUGGUUUUUUCUCUCCCACUCACCCUUUGCCCCAAAGAUGCCAGAUUUCUAAACGUGCAUGGAAUCAUUUGGUUGUGAAUACAGCCCAUACAGCCACCUUAGAUAAUGUAUUUUAAAUAUUUGUAGCUUUCAAACUUGUUUUUUAACUAAGGCAGUGCAAACCUACAGUCUUGCCACUUGAGAUAUAGAAGUGUGUCUUAUUUCAAAUAGCUUCAAAUAGAAGAGGUCUUUCCAUGUAAUGUGGCCGUGCAAAAGUAAUCUAGCUCUAUUGAAGGCUCUAUAUAUUUGUUCGGAUCUCAAGCUAUAGGAGAGGUUUAUAGUUUUUAUUCUCAAAAAGAAGUUUUUAGAUGACUUGUCUGCCAUAGAAGAAAGAUCUUAAUUGCUAUGAAUUUAAUUUUAGACCUGAUUUCUUUUUCAUAAUUCUGUUUUUCAUGUAAGUCCCUGUAGGUCUUGGUUUUAUUGACUAAGAAAUUGUUAGAAAGCAAUCUAAAAUCAAAGCUGCAAAAAAAGCAGCCAAAGGUUUUUGCAGUGUUCAGUGCUGCUUCUUUCACCUUUUUUUUUUUUUUUUUUUUCCCUUGUCCCUCCUAAACUAAUUAACCCCCUGCGUUGGCUUGUCCUGCUGUGCAUGUGUGUAAUCUGGGACAGGGAUCAACUUUAAAAAUUAUUUUAACUUGAUAGAAAGUGAAAUUUCAUAUGGUAAAUGAAGGGCUUUCAUGUUCCUCUUGUGUCUUUUUUUCCCCGUGAAAAGAGUUGAAGCCCUUUUCCUCUUCACUAUCCCAGUGGAUUAAAGCACAGAGAGAACAUGGUUUAUAAAGCGCUACAGUUUAGCCAUUAAAAAAGGAAUCUCAUUUUAGCGCCUUUAAAUGAAAGUACUCAGCUAUUAACAAAGAUGCUGUUGGGCACUCAGAGGAAAAUGGGAUACGUGCAAGCAGGGGGUGAGGGCUUCCACAUUCUUAGGUCAUUUUUUAUUUUUUCCCAGUCUAGUGACAUAUUUCUUUAAAAGCAUAGUAAUUCGGGAAAACUAAAUUGCCAAUUUCCAUUUCUCGUGCAUCACUUUCACAGCGAAGGCUGUUUCCAGGAAAAGUGUGAGAGACGAGUCGGUGGGGAGCGUGUGUGUGUGUUUUGGCUUUUUUUUUUUUUUUUUUUUUAACAUCGGCUCAAAAGUCCAAAGAGAAAUGAGGUGUCCGGUAUGGAAGUGCAUCUCAGUCAACAGCCAUCUCCUUUUGCCGAGGCUGGAAAUGGUUUUAACAGGCGGUAAAAUUUCAUCUUGUGGUGUCAAAUUGGGGUCAGUUUGGGGUUAGCGCUCUCAGUGUCCGAGCAGGAGCUGUCCAGCUGUGUGGGGAUUCAUUAAGGGCAAAAGAUCCGUUUCAAGAAAAACAAUACAAAGACAAUCAGAGGGCUAAAGAUCCUCUUCAAAUCGCAUUUUACAAGUGCACCAGAACAAAUAUGGACGCUGAAAUCUAUUCCCUUCAAACUCCCAAAUCGGCUUCUUAGCCCUCGGAGGGAGUGAGAGAGAAAAUCCUCUAAAACUUAAGAAGAGUCUGUUUUCAAUCAGCUUUUCCGAAGUGUGGCAUCUUAGUCCUUUGCUGGCUUUGAGAGAUGCCUCUCUCGCUCGCUUGCUCCCUCUCUCUCUCUCUCUCCUUUUCCACAGCCUUGCAAAAGCGGAUGGCACAACAGGUAAUAUUUCAGAUUUCAAGAAUAUAUUCCACCGGGGAUCUUGAACCACUGUUUUGUAGGCGCGUGUGUGCCUAGCGCAAGAUUUAAUGCAAAUAGAAAGUUUUUUGGGGGAAACAAGCCAUGCUUGCAUGAAAUCCUAUUGGACCCCUUUGGAAAUUUUCUGCACUCUUGUAGGCAACGCUCUGGUCUGAUGGCUAAUUUAGGCUAGAUUUACUUUACAGUUCCUAGAAUUGGUGGAAAGCACCUAUUUGCUAAUCUGGUUUAUUAAAUUCGCGUGGUUUAAAUCCUCUUAGCUUCUCUACAUCUGUUAGAACAAUUGUCGUCUCGCUACGGGGACAAAUAACUUGAACCUUAAUCUUGUUUGUAACUUUAUUCAAUGUUUGUGCGUUGAGUUCAAGCAUUUUUGGAUGAUGCCCUUGUGUUCCGAAACACAUAGGCUACAUUUGCAAGCAAAACUCCCCAUGGACUAAGGCUAAAGAUAUCGCGGAACGCGAUGAAAAAUAUUGCAUAUUUGAAUUGGCUUUUUAUCUCCAACUAUCGUUCUAGGAAAUGUGUCAUAUUUAACGAAGAAGGCAAUGCGCCUGGUAAAAUGUGGCCGGGGGAUUACAUCACUAUGACCCCGUAGUAAAAUCAUCGUGAGUUUUUGUUUUGCUCGUAAGGUAAAGUGCGGGGUGUAGAUAGUACCUUUUCCUUUUUAUAAUCAGGAUUAUGCCACAGUUCAAACUGCUGCUCCCCAAAAAUCACUCUCCACCACACUUUCCUUUGCCUUUACGGUUGAAUCUUAGAACUUGAGUCACUUUUUAUUCUUCUUAGCCUUCGACUUCCCGCAGCUGCCGGACUUUCGAGGUCCCAUCUCGGGUGCCCCUGUGAAGUCACACACAUUUUCGCUUCUGCAGAUAAUUGGGUUCAUUUAGCUCCUCACCCUGGCCCCCCCCGCCUGCCAGUAGGGUACUUCGCUUUUCAGCAAUCUAUUAUUUUUCGAAAAUCUUUCCAGUCCAGAAAGUCAAUGGUAGCCCAUCACGGUGAACUUUUCUUGACCUCAGCUGCGGUGUGACUGAGAUCUCUGGGAGCUGGAUUAGGAGGAAGUUCAUUUACUUACCUGUUAACUUCCCUUUUAACGCUCUUUAUUCCACACCUCCCCCCGUCCUUUAUUUUUUUAAGAAAAAAAAAAAAACAACAACAACAAAACCAAACCAAACAAACAAACACAAACAAACAAAACCCUCUCCACGAAGCAAGAACUAUCCGGGGUCUUUCUCCCCUCGGGAGCCCCUUCCCCCCCGCCGGGCUGCCGGGCUCUAUCCCGGCCUGGCGAGACCCCCCCAGGGCAGCCUCUGCCGGCGGCGGGCAGCGCUCGGUACCGUCAGCAGCGCUCUAGCGCUACCUGGCGGGGCUCCAGCUCGCUCCGCCGCCCCGCGCGGACCCACUCGGGGCUCGGCCUGACGCGGGGAGCGGAGCGGAGCGGGGCCCCGUGUCGGACCCUGUGCCCAGCUCCGCGCCUACGCCUCCCGCGGGGCUUUGCUUGGUCUGGUGUCGUCGCUCCCCGCCAGCCGCCCUGCAUCCCAGCCUACCGGGCGGGCUGUGAGGCGAGGAUCGUGCUGGGAAGGGGCGCAGGGAUGACCCCCCGUUCGCGUUUGUCCGGCUUUCUUCGCGCGCUGGUGUCAGACGAGAGCUGAGCUUUUUGUUUUGUAUGUCUUAGGCUGGGAGGUUUGUAAAAGUGAAGACCAUAAACAACCAACGUGCGUAUUUCCAUCAUAAACCAGAAAGAGAAAAAUACCUGUCAGGGCUUCUCACUAACGCCGUGCAGGCUCCUUCCACAAGGGCAGUUAAAAAUCUAGUUUGCAUUUGUUCGAAGAAGCCCGAAGCAUUAACAAAAUCUAUCUUUCCAAUGUGAUAUCGUAACAAAAAAGACAGUGAGGGCAAAGUAAGUCGCUUUAGUGCAAUAUCAGGGCAUCCGAGACGGCUCCAAACUCUGCUCAGAGCUCUCUGUUUUCACUCACUCAAGAUAUUCACUUUUGUUCUCCAGCUGCAUAUGAAACUCCAGAAGAGGAGCGCUCUCAUUUUUACGCUAGAGUUCUCGGUCCGGAGAGAACAAUAUCCUCCUACCUCUUUUGAAAUGAUACGGAGACUCUCAGAACACAGAAGAGAUCACUCGAAGCACGAAUGUCCUUUUUUUUUUUUUUUUCCCCCAAGAGCUGCUGGGCCCAUUGUUUGAAGUGAGCUCCAGCGCGCAGACCGGAGAGAAAGCGGGGCGGGGGGGGGGGAAAUCUUUGGAGCCUGGCUUGGUGCUGCACAGAGAAAGAGCUGACAAAUACUAGGGCGUUUUUCCUAGAAGUACGUGAUGGGAGCCCGCGGUGUGUUCCCUAAAGAGAGGUUGUACUUUUGUGUGUGUGUGUUUUUGUUGUUGUUUUUAAGAUUGUGAUCACCUUUGCACUUAUUUCUUUUGAUCCCACAAAUAGAAUGCAAUAUAUAUAUGUUUGCUCUCCAUAUAAGAAAAUGCAAGGGACCGUACAAUGAAAUAUACGGCCGGUUAGUCCUCAUAAUGCUUAGUUUUGCUGUAAUUAAUUGAAAACAGUUAUUAGGUCGUCAUUGGCAAUAGCGUAAAUAAUUGCAGCAGAUUUUUACUUAAAAUUGACCGGUCACAGAGUGAUAGAUCGAUUCGAGGUAUAAAAAUGAUGUAUCAAAACAUCAAUGUCGAUUAUUUGAAAUAUUGUAGUCGAAUCUUUUUAUUGCUUCAUCGGUUAAGUGUCUGAAAGUGCUGUGUUCCAACAUAUAUUUAUGUUGUCAAUACUGUCAAAACUGUCAGUUUUAUUACAGUGGAUUUGUAAUACAUUUCGGAUUUGCUCAUUUACAUAAAAUGUCCACCCCAGAUACCCCUCCUUUUCCCCAUCUCUGGAAAUCUGUGUCAGUUUAAUGAAAGGACUCAGGACUCAUAGCUGAAGAAAAAGAAAAAAAAAAUGUGGAGCUAUUGCUCCAUUAGGUCCAAUUUAAACAUCCCUUUGGAAAGCCUGGGCUAUUUCUAACUUCCAUAAGAGGGAAUCCCCCCUCCCCCGCCUCCUUUUUCCCCAGUAGAAUUUAAACACUUUUCUACCCUCACACCUAGAUUAAACCCUUAAUGAGAAUUGAGAGACUGUACAAGGAGACGGAUCCGAGCCAAAGCACACCUGUGAAUGUCGAAACCCUCCCAAAGAGAGCAACAGCCCCCCGAACCGCGCACACAAGCGCGGGGGGUUGGAUCCCGCUAGAAAGAAGGAGACAAAAGGAGCAAUAAAUAUGUGUGUGAUCCUUUCUUAACGGUUUGGAGCCCAAAGCAAAAAGGCGAAUUGGAAGCAGUAUUGGGCAUUUGAUGCCCUCCCGCCCCCAUUUUGUCAGGGUGUGAUUAUUCGCUUUAACUGUAAGCGGCUGAUUUUUUGUUAGCGUGGUCUCAGACACCUCUCUCUAAUUUUCUCCGAAAGCCCAGCUGACGAAUGGAAAAAACUCAGGAAUAAAUAAAUCCAUUCACAGACUAAACUCUCUUCAAUCGAGCAAACAAUGAAAUUAGCCAAGUAACUUUAUUUCUCACCCCACCCCUUUCGGGAGUAUGAGGUUGUUUCAAAGGUGUUGGUAAGAUGGACCGAGGUGUGGGGGAUUUUCUGUCUUUUUUUUUUUUUUCCUUUCUCCUUCCCAGGGAUAUGUAUGUUUAAAGAGAUGCUGAAGAGAUUUCUGAGUUCACGGGGAAGGAGGAAAGGUUGGUUUGGGGAACGGCCCCGCGCCUGGCAGGUAUUUUAAUGACGGUUCUUUCCUUUGAACACUUUCAAUCUCUGCUUCUUUUCAUCCGGAAUAUCUUCCCCAGACCAAGCAUGAUUUCUGCUAUAAUUCUUGUGUGUGUUUGUGAUCCCUUCUGAGGUAAAUUGAGAAGUAAGCUGCGCAAAAGGAGGAAAUCGCCCCUGGGGUGCUUUGUUUACUUUGGUUUGUAAAAUCCUGCUAGGAGAUGCUUUCCUCAGUGUGUGGCAAGUGUUUCUUCAAGAAAUUCAUCAGCCCUUCUACAAUUACUUCGAUCUCCGAGGGAAGAUAGCUGCCAUCACUUUCUCACAUCCCAAGGUGUUGCACGGAGGAGAGAAGAAAAGGCUGGAGCAUUUAAUUAGAAGGGGGUGGGAGGGAGUAGGGGGAACGGUGGCUGCAGAAAAAGGUCCCAAGCCUGUACCUGGAAAAGAAAAAUCUUCAAGUGUAUAUUUGGGAGACGUGUGCCACUUAGAGAUGGGGAAAAGCACCCCAGCUUGUGCAGUAAUUAGGCUGAACAAUAAACAUAAUUGGAAUAAAAUCAGUUGGAAAUUCCUGCGUUUUUAAUUACGUUUCAUUUUGCGGUAAGCCGUAAAAUUAUGAAUGCCUCUCAAUUAAACACUAUCCACUUGUAAAGCAUUUAACAACAAUUAUUCCUUAAUCAGUUGGAAUGUUAGCCACAAAUGAUGCUGUUAAACAUCAAAGGGACGCCUCAGACGUUACCUUUUAGUCAUAAGUAAGAGGAUUAAUUUCUAUAAUUAGAGGGGAUAAAUAUGUGCAUAAAUGCAUCUAAUUUUUUUACACGUUCUCGUCCUAUCUGGGAGACCCGAGGAUCUUUGACAUUGCCUGCACUUUGAGCUCUCCCCCGGAUCAGCGGCAGCGACCCCGGGGGCAGCGAGGUGAGAACACCCCUCCAGGGAGGCCAGAUCUGCGGCCGCGCCGCUCCACCAGCGCCCGCACCCAGCGCCAGCACUGCGGGGAUCGGGAUCGGACUCGCCAUGGACACAGAGCUUCGGGGCAACUUGCAGCCCUCCUUGGCUUUUAUCUACGUUUUUUAUUUUACGGUCCCUGGGGUCUACGUGGUGCUUCAGUUCCCUCGGGGACAAUAUACUGCCCCCAAACGAAGCUCCAGAUUUGAGUUGAAUACCGCAAAUAAAAUUAGCACGACCUUGAUUACA
Molecule: long non-coding RNA, 7687 nt
Organism: Columba livia (rock pigeon)
Lineage: Eukaryota; Metazoa; Chordata; Aves; Columbiformes; Columbidae
Exons: 2
Source: RefSeq, a predicted model, not a curated record